This 707-nucleotide long non-coding RNA is filed under the name Mytilus galloprovincialis (Mediterranean mussel). The record is from RNAcentral. Lineage: Eukaryota; Metazoa; Mollusca; Bivalvia; Mytilida; Mytilidae.
GUUCGCCCGCCAUACAUCCUCAAAUCAAUAACCAACAUUUUUGUCACAAAAAUCCGGUUAAUAAUGAGUAGUUAACAGGGGUAUUACCUCCCCUUAAUUUCAACCUGCUAUGAAAUUUGCUAGGACUCAAUACCACAACAACCAAAACACAUCACCAGUUAUGAUAGGCUUUUGUAUGAUACAUUUAGUUAAUAGUUACGAACAUGUGGGCGAUAUGAAAUCAAUUAAUUUUGUCAAUUGUCUUUCUAAAUGUUUCAAAACUAGACAAAACAAAUGCACAGAAACAUUGAUUGAUUGUUGAUGUUUUUACACCACUUUUGGGAUAUUUCGUGGUGACCAGUUUUUAUUGGUGGAGGCAGCCGGAGUGCCAGGAGAAAACUACUGACCUUUGAUAAUGAAACUGGCAACCGUCAAAAAAGUCAAUUAAGAUUGGAGUCUAUUUACCUUGCACCCACAUGAGCAGGUUCAAACUCACAACAUCAGUGUUGAGUAGCUAGUGAUUACAGUAGUAACCACUCUGCCACGGAGGCCCCACAGGAAAAUUUAAUCGUUUAAAAUAAAUCAUCUGCCAUUUCUUAAAUUUGAAAGAAUAGUUGUAUACAAUACCUCUUCUAUUCUGUCCUACUAACAUUGAUUGAUAAAUACUGCACUUAUAUAUGAAAUAGUGCUACAUACUCAUGGUAUAGCCAUAAAAAGAUUGCAUCUUC